UACGACCAGGGCUACACACGUGCUACAAUGGCGCAUACAAAGAGAAGCGACCUCGCGAGAGCAAGCGGACCUCAUAAAGUGCGUCGUAGUCCGGAUUGGAGUCUGCAACUCGACUCCAUGAAGUCGGAAUCGCUAGUAAUCGUGGAUCAGAAUGCCACGGUGAAUACGUUCCCGGGCCUUGUACACACCGCCCGUCACACCAUGGGAGUGGGUUGCAAAAGAAGUAGGUAGCUUAACCUUCGGGAGGGCGCUUACCACUUUGUGAUUCAUGACUGGGGUGAAGUCGUAACAAGGUAACCGUAGGGGAACCUGCGGUUGGA
RNAcentral lists this ribosomal RNA (320 nucleotides) under Escherichia coli. Its description in RNAcentral is "bacterial SSU rRNA". It matches the Rfam family "Bacterial small subunit ribosomal RNA", at positions 1203 to 1522 of the family's 1533-position model. The record is from RNAcentral. RNAcentral also lists the same sequence under 3 other names. Lineage: Bacteria; Pseudomonadati; Pseudomonadota; Gammaproteobacteria; Enterobacterales; Enterobacteriaceae.